ACUAAAUGCUUGGGGGAGUACAUUACAACAAUAAACAGACACAUUCCCUGCCCAUAACAAGCUUACAGUCUAGAGCAGGGGAGACAGACAUCAAUACAAAUAAGUUAGGGAUAUGUACAUAAGUGGUGUGGGGCUGGGAGGGGGGAAGAACCAAGGAGCAAGUCAGGGUGAUGCAGAAGGGAGUGGGAGAAGAGGAAAGGAGGGGUUUAGUCAGGGAAGGUCUAAUGGAGGAGAUUUGCCUUCAAUAAGGCUUUGAAGUGGGGGAGAAUAACUGUCUGUCAGAUUUGAGAAGGGAAGGCGUUCGGGCCAGAGGCAGGACUGGACUAGGGCUCACAGUCUCAAUCCCCAUUUUCAGAUGAGGCAACAGAGGCCCAAGAAGUGAAGCCACUUGCCCAAGGCUACACAGCAGACAAGUGGCAGAGCUGGGAUUAGAACCCAGGUCCCUCUGACUCCCCGGAUUGUGCUCUAUCCACUAGGCCAUGCUGCCUUCUGGUGCUGCUGCCCGGAAAGGGAUCGGGCCGUGGUGGAGCUCGCGGCGCGCUCAGCUUCCCAGGCUCUGUCUCCCCCAGGAUCUCGGGCUCCGGCUCCGGCUCCGGCAUCCGUGGGAGGCGUUGGCAGAGUGCUCCCCGUGGGAGCCAGACGGUGAGUAAUGGAGCGGCUGCCUUACAUAAGCGGAGAUCGGGGCUGAAGAGGACAGCCCCGGCCCUGCGCUGACAGCCGGGGCCUCUGGGCCCCCUUUGACCGUUCCCUGGAGGGGAUGCUGCCCCCCUGCCGGGCCUUGGUUUCCCCCACAGUGACCUCCAGGCAUCUCCUCUCACCUCAGAUGACCCAUCCCCGCUGGCAGCGGCGCCGAGCGCGGGAGACACAGAGACACACACACACACAGACACGAGGCCAGGAGACCCACAGGAGCCCAGAGGACCCAGGACCCCGGACACCCCGCCGCCCCCUCCCAGAUCCCCCGACCCCCGACCCUGCCGCCAGCAUGGACUGCUGCACCGUACGUACACAGACCGAUCCCCGACCCUCGGGACCCCUGCCCACCUUGGGGGCCAGCAAGAGGGUGCAGGAGGAGGAGGGGGAUGAAGAGGAGGAGGGGGAUGCAGAGGGGGAGGGGGUCGCCCCCCCCAAGGUCCGACCUCUUUCCGAUUCCAAGGACCGGCUCCGGGGCGGCUUGGGUGGGCAGAGCGUGGGUGGGCAGAGCGUGGGUGGGCAGAGCGUGGGCAGAGCGUGGGCCCGAGGCUGGGGAGGCGGAAUGGCUGCAGCAUGA
This 1270-nucleotide long non-coding RNA is filed under the name Ornithorhynchus anatinus (platypus). RNAcentral describes it as "lncRNA (ENSOANG00000048640.1)". The record is from RNAcentral. Lineage: Eukaryota; Metazoa; Chordata; Mammalia; Monotremata; Ornithorhynchidae.